Monopterus albus (swamp eel) is the source of this 421-nucleotide long non-coding RNA. RefSeq lists it as uncharacterized. Lineage: Eukaryota; Metazoa; Chordata; Actinopteri; Synbranchiformes; Synbranchidae. The record is from RefSeq and is a predicted model, not a curated record. The transcript is spliced from 2 exons.
UGUGCUUUUUAAAAUUCGAGUUGUAAUUCUAACUGCUAAUACUGAACUUGAAUGAUUAACUAGAAAAAAAAUCUGAUGUUUUUAGACUAGAUAGGAUUUCCCAUGUUUUCCCACAAUGCAUCGCUUUAUUUUGUCUAGUAGCUCAGGGAGAUGAUAGGGAACGGAUAGAGCCACCCUUUGCUCUCACCCGUACCAAGCGACCCCCUGACAGCAUCUCUGACAUGCCCUGCAAGGCGGAACGCACUUAGCCGAUGUGGCUAAUCUGUCCAACAAUUUAGCUACAGCCUUUUAUAAGAUUUUCGAUAGUCGGUUAUUUUAAACCAUAAGCACUGUCACUAGGUUGCAAAGGCGCUGUGUGUCCAAACAUAAUCAGCCAUGGCAUCAUCAAAUGUUACCCUGGAGAAUCAGCUGCACAGUGCAC